RNAcentral lists this ribosomal RNA (2514 nucleotides) under Brucella melitensis. RNAcentral's name for it is "partial 23S ribosomal RNA". It matches the Rfam family "Bacterial large subunit ribosomal RNA", at positions 1 to 2513 of the family's 2925-position model. The record is from RNAcentral. Lineage: Bacteria; Pseudomonadati; Pseudomonadota; Alphaproteobacteria; Hyphomicrobiales; Brucellaceae.
GAGUGAUCAAGUGUCUUAAGGGCAUUUGGUGGAUGCCUUGGCAUGCACAGGCGAUGAAGGACGUGAUACGCUGCGAUAAGCGUCGGGGAGGUGCGAAUACCCUUUGAUCCGACGAUUUCCGAAUGGGGCAACCCACCUUAGAUGACUAGAAAAUCUGUUUUGUUGGAGCAACGCUGGAUGGGUUUACACCCAUACAGACCGCUAGGUCGUCGGCCCAUGUGGGCCGCCCCCGCGGAGCGCCAGCAUUCCUCUGGAAUGCGUACGGCGCGUGAGCGAGAACAGCACAGCUUUCUAGUCAUCAUAAAUAAGGUAUCUAACCUUGAAUACAUAGGGGUUAGAAGCGAACCUGGGGAACUGAAACAUCUAAGUACCCAGAGGAAAGGACAUCAAACGAGACUCCGCUAGUAGUGGCGAGCGAACGCGGACCAGGCCAGUGGCUUUUGUGAAUAAAGUGGAACGAGUUGGAAAACUCGACCGAAGUGGGUGAUAGUCCCGUACACGUAGAAUAGCAGAAGUCCUUGAGUAGGGCGGGACACGUGAAAUCCUGUCUGAACAUGGGUCGACCACGAUCCAAGCCUAAGUACUCGUGCAUGACCGAUAGCGAACCAGUACCGUGAGGGAAAGGUGAAAAGCACCCCGACGAGGGGAGUGAAACAGUACCUGAAACCGGAUGCCUACAAACAGUUGGAGCCCAAGGUUUGUCCUGGGUGACAGCGUACCUUUUGUAUAAUGGGUCAGCGACUUAGUGUAUCGAGCAAGCUUAAGCCGGUAGGUGUAGGCGCAGCGAAAGCGAGUCUGAACAGGGCGUUCAGUUCGAUGCAUUAGACCCGAAACCAAGUGAUCUAGCCAUGAGCAGGUUGAAGGUACGGUAACACGUACUGGAGGACCGAACCCAUAUCUGUUGCAAUAGAUCGGGAUGACUUGUGGCUAGGGGUGAAAGGCCAAUCAAACUUGGAGAUAGCUGGUUCUCCGCGAAAUCUAUUUAGGUAGAGCGUCGACCGAAUACCCCCGGGGGUAGAGCACUGGAUGGGCUAUGGGGACUCACCGUCUUACUGAUCCUAACCAAACUCCGAAUACCGGGGAGUACUAGUCGGCAGACACACGGCGGGUGCUAACGUCCGUCGUGGAGAGGGCAACAACCCUGACCACCAUCUAAGGUCCCUAAGUUAUGGCUAAGUGGGAAAGGAUGUGAGGAUCCCAAAACAACCAGGAUGUUGGCUUAGAAGCAGCCAUCAUUUAAAGAAAGCGUAACAGCUCACUGGUCUAAAUAAGGGUCUUUGCGCCGAAAAUGUACCGGGGCUCAAGCCAUACACCGAAGCUGUGGAUGCACGUAUGUGCGUGGUAGCGGAGCGUUCCGUAAGCCUGUGAAGGGACAGUCGUGAGACAUCCUGGAGGUAUCGGAAGUGAGAAUGCUGACAUGAGUAACGAUAAAGGGAGUGAGAGACUCCCUCGCCGAAAGUCCAAGGGUUCCUGCUUAAAGUUAAUCUGAGCAGGGUUAGCCGGCCCCUAAGGCGAGGCCGAAAGGCGUAGUCGAUGGGAACCACGUUAAUAUUCGUGGGCCUGCAGGUAGUGACGGAUCGCGUGUGUUGUGAGGUCUUAUUGGAUUGAUCUUGCAGCGAAGCGGUUCCAGGAAAUAGCUCCUGCAUAUAGACCGUACCCUAAACCGACACUGGUGGACUGGUAGAGAAUACCAAGGCGCUUGAGAGAACUGCGUUGAAGGAACUCGGCAAAAUGCACGCGUAACUUCGGAAGAAGCGUGACCUCACUAUGGGCAACCAUAGGGGGGUGGCACAGACCAGGGGGUAGCGACUGUUUACCAAAAACACAGGGCUCUGCGAAGUCGCAAGACGACGUAUAGGGUCUGACGCCUGCCCGGUGCUGGAAGGUUAAGAGGAGAGGUGCAAGCCUUGAAUUGAAGCCCCAGUAAACGGCGGCCGUAACUAUAACGGUCCUAAGGUAGCGAAAUUCCUUGUCGGGUAAGUUCCGACCUGCACGAAUGGCGUAACGACUUCCCCGCUGUCUCCAACGCAGACUCAGUGAAAUUGAAUUCCCCGUGAAGAUGCGGGGUUCCUGCGGUUAGACGGAAAGACCCCGUGCACCUUUACUAUAGCUUUACACUGGCAUUCGUGACGACAUGUGUAGGAUAGGUGGUAGACUUUGAAGCAGGGGCGCCAGCCUUUGUGGAGUCACCCUUGAAAUACCACCCUUGUUUUUAUGGAUGUCUAACUGCGGCCCGUUAUCCGGGUCCAGGACCGUGUAUGGUGGGUAGUUUGACUGGGGCGGUCGCCUCCUAAAGAGUAACGGAGGCGCGCGAUGGUAGGCUCAGAACGGUCGGAAAUCGUUCGUCGAGUGCAAUGGCAUAAGCCUGCCUGACUGCAAGACUGACAAGUCGAGCAGAGACGAAAGUCGGUCAUAGUGAUCCGGUGGUCCCGCGUGGAAGGGCCAUCGCUCAACGGAUAAAAGGUACGCCGGGGAUAACAGGCUGAUGACCCCCAAGAGUCCAUAUCGACGGGG